This is a long non-coding RNA of Mesocricetus auratus (golden hamster), 823 nucleotides long. RefSeq lists it as uncharacterized. The transcript has 2 exons. The record is from RefSeq and is a predicted model, not a curated record. Lineage: Eukaryota; Metazoa; Chordata; Mammalia; Rodentia; Cricetidae.
UGGGGUUGAAGGGUCAUCAUGAUUAACAAGAGACCAGCACCACUGAAAUGAAAUCUUUGAAUCACUGGGACUAUUGAUGAUGGUUAACUGGAGCUAAGAAACUAACAGAGAUUAUAAGAUCGGCAUCAUUGAGGUGAAAUCUUCUGGGGAGUUUCCUGAGUGUUAGCACACAGAAGCUGUGUUCCAGAGGUGGCCAGGGUUGUACCGCAAGCUGGCAGCCAAACUUGAUAUUAUAACAGUCACUCAGGUGGUAUUAAUUUUGAAGACAUGAAAGGGUCAUGAAGAACAGCUGAGGCUUGGCACUUUGAGAGGCCAGGAAAGACCAUUGGUUAAGGUGCAGCCUCGGCAGCAGUUGAAGACCCAGGACUGAAGGGGUCAUGAAAAGAAGUUGAGGUUUGCCACCAUGAAGAUGGAUGAGGAGAGACUAUUGUGAAAGUGUAUCUCAGCUACCGUGGGAGACUCCAGUGUUUUGAAAAAGCCAGUGUUGUAGGAUGACCUCCAAGAACAGCAGCAGCAGUGGAGCGGAGACAACCAGAGCCUAGAAGACAAGCUGCGUGUGUGUGCUGCCGAGGGAGGAACCAGAGAAAUGACCCAAGCUCCGUGGAGGAGUCCAGAAUAUUGAUCCCACAGUUGAGAGAUUGAAUUUUAAGAGUGAUUUUAGGGUUCAAAAGAGAAUUUGAAUUUUAAAAAGACUGAAUUUUAAAGUGUUUGAAUUUGUAAAGACUGUGGAUCUUUUUAAGUUUGUAAAACGUUUUGUGUUAUGAUACUGAUAUUGAUGUUGCCAUCUUGGCGAUGAACAAGUAAAAAAAGGGUUGUGACUUAA